GAUGAACGCUGGCGGCGUGCUUAACACAUGCAAGUCGAACGGGAAACCUUUUAUUGAAGCUUCGGCAGAUUUAGCUGGUUUCUAGUGGCGGACGGGUGAGUAACGCGUGGGUAACCUGCCUUAUACAGGGGGAUAACAACCAGAAAUGGUUGCUAAUACCGCAUAAGCGCACAGGACCGCAUGGUCCGGUGUGAAAAACUCCGGUGGUAUAAGAUGGACCCGCGUUGGAUUAGCUAGUUGGCAGGGUAACGGCCUACCAAGGCGACGAUCCAUAGCCGGCCUGAGAGGGUGAACGGCUACAUUGGGACUGCGACACGGCCCAGACUCCUACGGGAGGCAGCAGUGGGGAAUAUUGCACAAUGGGGGAGCCCCUGAUGCAGCGACGCCGCGUGAAGGAAGAAGUAUCUCGGUAUGUAAACUUCUAUCAGCAGCGAAGAUAGUGACGGUACCUGACUAAGAAGCCCCGGCUAACUACGUG
RNAcentral lists this ribosomal RNA (478 nucleotides) under uncultured bacterium. Its description in RNAcentral is "partial 16S ribosomal RNA". It matches the Rfam family "Bacterial small subunit ribosomal RNA", at positions 28 to 507 of the family's 1533-position model. The record is from RNAcentral.